Long non-coding RNA from Passer domesticus (house sparrow), 4960 nucleotides. RefSeq lists it as uncharacterized. NCBI's taxonomy places the organism in Eukaryota, Metazoa, Chordata, Aves, Passeriformes, Passeridae. The transcript has 2 exons. The record is from RefSeq and is a predicted model, not a curated record.
CCCCCCAAAAUUCUUGGUCUUCUAAUAUUCUGAGUAAUUGUUUACUGGUGUUGAUUGACAAGGAGGAGUUCCCACCUCCUUGGCCAAACUUUUUCUGAACAAGAUGAAAACUGAAAAUUACUUUGUCUUACUCUUAUGGAAUAAACCAAAGGUUACUGUAGCAGUAAAGAAGCAACCAGGAAGACAAUAUCAUUGGUAUGAAGAGGGAAAAGUCCUGCACUGAAAACUGUCCAGGAGUCUGUGAUAAUGAAAAACUUGAACCUUACAUAAGAAGUGCAGGGAUCCAGACAGGAACUGAGGUUUUUGAGACAGAUUUUUAGCAUCAAGCCAUUGCUUGUUAGGGGCUGGCAGAUGCACCAGAGGGAUUGGGAUAAAAAGGGAGCAGAAUUUGGUAGGUUUGGAAAAGCAAAGUGCAUCUUGCAAAUGAGAAGACAAAUGUCCUUUAUUGUAAAUCUGUGACAUGUUCACGAUGAGAUUUUGGUGGUGCAGCACCUUCAUGCAGGAUCAUCUAGUGAUUAGGAAGGGAGGAAUUUCCAAAUGACAACAGGCCAAUGGUCCCUCUAGCUCUCUACCCUGUCUCUGAUAGUGCAAUUUUGAAAGAUCAAAUGUGGAGAAGUUUCCCAAGGGAAGCAGUGGAAGUCCCAUGUCAGGGGACUUUUACAUCUAGACCAGACAAAACACUAGAAAAUGUACUGUAGCUGUAGCAAGCAAUUCUGCAUCAGCAGGGAGAUGGGUUGAAUGAUCUAAUAUGGCUCUUCCAUCUGCAAUUCCUGUGAGUCUAUGAAUCACAUUUCUGUGUGGCAAUGCAGCCGAGUAAAUACAGUGCAGAGCAGUAGCAGCAGCUAUCUUGGUAUCGCUGUAACAGUAACAUGAGUAAAUUAGGCAGACAAAUUCCAAAAAGGGAUAUAUUUGAGUCUCCAGUUCUAAAUCCAUCUGUUCAAACUGCCUAUAGCACAGUAUGCAACUGCUAAUUCCUAAGUGGUUCAGGCUGAAUAACAAGACGUUUUGUGUCAGGUAUGCUAUUAGCAAAGAACUGACCCAUUAUUCGUUCCUGUUUUGUUGUACAGAGGUGGUGUUCCCUAACCAGGCACAUUUUUGGACAAAUACAAAGACUGGCCCAGCUAUCUAUAGCCUCUGUGAAUUUUAACUUUAACCAUAUGGGAGGAUCUUGCAAAAGUAGACUAUAAAAUUUGAAAAUAUGUCAGUUUAAGAUGCAAAGUGUCUUCUGACUGGGAAAGCAAGGGUGGAAGGAUUGAAACAUCUUAUUACCAGACAAAUGUGCUCAAGCUUUAUCCUGGUCCUGUGCCUAGAUGAUCCAGACAGAGCUGAAUUCAUGGACAGUUGGGUGGGUGUCAAAGCUGCCAUAUGUCAGACUAACCAAACAUUUCUUUUGUGCACCCAACCUAGUCCAGUGGGUCAACUAGGCUUAGAAAAACCUCUAACUUUGUUGAUUGAUUUGGGAAAGGUAAGUACCAAACAUAUCAAACUCCACUGUCAACAGUAAUCACCACUGAACAGGAUUACGUGGAACGAAUUUUCAAGAUACUUCUGUGGAAAUAAGGGCUGUAUACAGAGAUGUUACACAGAUGUUAUACAGUUGACAAAAAAGUCCAGUGUUUCAUUACUUACUUCACAGGAGAAAUUCCUCUAGCAGCCAGGAAGAUACUCUUUCAUAAAUCAACAGGAAAGGAAGCGUUUAUGACUUUUCUUGUUCUUUUUACUGUGAUUGCAAAAUCCUGCAAUCCCAACCACCAAAGGCUUAUGUUUCUCAUCACUGCUCAACCCACCCCCUCACAGCCAUCUUCCCACAGUCUUUCUUAACUAUCUUCAUUAAGUGUUACUCCAUUUUCUGGGAUUUUAGCAUGAUGUUUCUGCCAUACCUGUGGGAUCAUAUUUGAUGACUGGUGAUCCCAAAAAGUCUUUUUCCCUUAACUGGCUUCUGAGAGUGCAAGAAGCUCACCACCUCUAUCACUUCUAAUGGGGGAGGCCACCUACAGCACAUCCAAACCCAGAGGCUGGACAUUGAUAUGGGAAAUCAUUUUAGACCAAAUACAUGCAUUUAUUUGUGUGUGAGUAGCUCAACCACCUCUUGAAAUAUCCAGAUUUUUAGUUGUCAACAGGCCUCCUCCAGUACCCUGACUAUUCAUAAAGAUACUGAAGAAUUCAGUUUUAUGACAUCCAGACCUGGUGAUUUAUUCAUUCUGAACUGCAACAUCAUUUCUUCACUAUUCUUCAUUCAUUUUUCCCACAUUUAAAAAGUUUCAUUCAGCCAGCCAUAAAUAAGUGAGUAAAUAAAUAAAUAACCAAUUCCACACCUUUGUGAAGAACGAAAUUGAACAGUUUAUAAAUAAACCAGAAGCUAAAAUGUGUUUGCAUAAACUGAUAAACACUUAGGAAAAGAGAAAUUGGGGGAAAAAAUCCAUCUUUGUAUUUUUCACUGGGAAAAUGAAGACUGUUUUCAGGUAGGAGAAAUAUUUGCACAUUUUCCCUCUAUUUUUGAGCUGGCUUGGUAUAAAAUCCAUUGACAGAAAAUGCUGAAAUUGGUAACACAUUGAAUGUAAUGGUUAAAUGCUUGAAUGUAAUAGUUAAAAAGUUUUUCCACUAAUACUUAACAAAUACUUGGACUUGUUUAUUACUGUUAAAGGAGAGUUUCUUGUCUGUAGCUGUCUUAAGGUUUGGCACCUGAUCUGGACAAAUCAGCCAAAUCCCCCUGACAGUGAAAGGAAAGAAACAGGCUCCUUUCCAGCCCAGCCCAAGAAAGACAUCUGCAGUAGGUGCUAUGAAGAGCUAUGAAGAGACAACCUGGACAAGUAGCUUUGACAUCUGAAUUUUGGCUGGUUAAAACUGAAUUAGAUGAAUUCCUCCAUAAGGUCCUCUCAAACUAAGAGAACAUUUGUUUCCCAUGCUAUUUACAGUUGUUACCCAAUGGCCAAAGGUCCUAUAGGCAUCAGAUGAACUACAUCAGUAUAAACCUAGUAAUUACAAAAUACAGAAACUUUGACAUAGCUGUAGAAUGAAUGCCAGCAUUUAAUAAUUAGAUGCGUACAUUUACAUUAUAUCUGUUUUGUACCUGGAUUUACAGGAAUGGAACCUACAAUUACGACAAGCAAACUGCUUAUACAACUUCAAGGCAAAAUAGACUGCAACUAAACUCAGGAAGUAUUCUUAUUACCUGUAGGUUUCUGGAUUAAUAAGGCAUUCACUGAGAGCAACAGCUGUCUAGCUUCCUGUUCAGUACUGGAUCUAAUGCCUCUACAGAAAUCUAGGUCAAAACACUUGGAAUGCAUGAAUAUCAAACAGAGUUUUCAAAACAGCAAAUGAAUACAUCUUUAACUGGUGACAUUUUCCUGUAGCAUAUGGCUGCAAGCUCAGGGGACUGCAUGCUUUUUUGAUGAAUAUGUUCCGUCAAAAACUAAGGAAUGGCAGUGGGCUUAUAUCACCUUCUGUUUUGCCUUAUGAAAUGAUAAUACAAACUCAUAAAUGGAUACUACUAUCACAAGACUCCUGCCUUUUGUCCAAUCCCAAAGUAGUACAAGGCCUACUGGUUAAGAGCCUCACUCUUUGGUCAUGUUAAAGUGUGAAAGAUAACUGUCAAAGAUGCAUUUUUGUAAAGCACUUGCCCAUGUCACGGAGGGCAUAAGAUUACCUGCAUUUCCAUACGAGUGGAAAACAGCAACAUACGGUACCAGGAAAGAGGCACACAUUAAUUCUACAAUUCCACUAAGACAUUAAACCCUGCAUAUAAUUUCUGCAAAAGAAUGGCACACUAGAACAAAGGUAAUAUUAAUAUAGUUUAGCUUGACAACGCAAAUAUGCAGGGAAAGUUGUACAUUUUUAAUGAUAGAAAUAAGAGAAUAAAGAACUAAACUAAAAUUAAAGUGCUGGCAUCUCAAUAAACCCCAUAUCAACAUAAAAGUGCCAGUCCAAAGAAAGCUGCUCUAACGAGCUUGUCUGCUCCUCUCUGAGAAGAAAGCACGGGUUUGGCAGCAACACCAGGGACUGUUGAAUAAUUAACCAACCACCAAUUCUGACCAGUAGGAAAUGAUGGAGUAAUUAUUUCUGGUCAUCUAUUUAUCUUCUCAAACAGGAAAAAAAUAUUCCUGUCUAAUACCUCCUUAGGUUGAUGAAACACAUAGAAAAUCACCUAAAUACUCUGGAACAUUCUAUAAGACCUGGGGCUUGGAAUGCAUCUCAGCUGGAAGCAUACUGGCUCCCUUGUGGGAUUUGAAGGGGGUUGUGCAGGGGUUUAAAACAGGAGUGUGGCCAAGAUCUCUACAGGUUCUGACCUCCAAUACCCUGUGAGAUGUAGUGCGGCAAGCAAAUACUGAAUUCAGGUUCUGUUCAAAGCAGCCAACAGUUUUAACCUGGGUUGAUGCUCAUGGAGCAAAUGUGAGAACUGAACCCAUCUAGACAAGCUCUGACCAUAUAAAACUGUUUUCAUAUGAAAGAUUUUAAACAACUGUGAUAUAAAGGCUGUGUGCUGCUGAGUAUGUAUCAAGCCUUCUUCUGUAUUUUGAAGUUUCUUUUCAGUUAUGCAGACUCCCCCCACUUUCUGCCCUUCUUCAUUUCCCAAGUGCCAUAUUAAAACAAUCCAGGAUCUAAAUUUCACUGUUCCUCUCUGAUACUUCACUAGUUUCACACCACCUUGCUGGCUCAGUUUGUAGCUCCAGGCAGAGACUGAGGAAAUAGUCUGAGAGGGAAAAAAAAUUUGAAUUCAGUCAAUUUUGAGUUGUUUUUUUUUUAAACAUUUUGUAAACAAAGCCAGCUCACUAAAAGAUGGAUGGAUGAACAAAGGAAGUGAUUAAAUAAAGAAUGAUUAUCAUUAGCCUCCUAUGCACUCCUCACAGUUUAUAGGAAAUAUAUCUGUUCUCAAAGCUAUUUAAGGCAGGUGCUUUAUAUAUAUUUUGCAAAAAAAAAAAAAACCAAAAAAAUUUGGUGAAAUAAAAAUGAAAAAUCUAAA